Molecule: ribosomal RNA, 465 nt
Filed under: Vreelandella stevensii
Lineage: Bacteria; Pseudomonadati; Pseudomonadota; Gammaproteobacteria; Oceanospirillales; Halomonadaceae
Description: partial 16S ribosomal RNA
Rfam family: Bacterial small subunit ribosomal RNA
Source: RNAcentral
CCUACGGGGGGCUGCAGUGGGGAAUAUUGGACAAUGGGCGAAAGCCUGAUCCAGCCAUGCCGCGUGUGUGAAGAAGGCCUUCGGGUUGUAAAGCACUUUCAGUGGGGAAGAAAGCCUUGGGGCUAAUACCCUCGAGGAAGGACAUCACCCACAGAAGAAGCACCGGCUAACUCCGUGCCAGCAGCCGCGGUAAUACGGAGGGUGCGAGCGUUAAUCGGAAUUACUGGGCGUAAAGCGCGCGUAGGCGGUCUGAUAAGCCGGUUGUGAAAGCCCCGGGCUCAACCUGGGAACGGCAUCCGGAACUGUCAGGCUAGAGUGCAGGAGAGGAAGGUAGAAUUCCCGGCGUAGCGGUGAAAUGCGUAGAGAUCGGGAGGAAUACCAGUGGCGAAGGCGGCCUUCUGGACUGACACUGACGCUGAGGUGCGAAAGCGUGGGUAGCAAACAGGAUUAGAUACCCGGGUAGUC